Molecule: long non-coding RNA, 1500 nt
Organism: Osmerus eperlanus (European smelt)
Lineage: Eukaryota; Metazoa; Chordata; Actinopteri; Osmeriformes; Osmeridae
Exons: 4
Source: RefSeq, a predicted model, not a curated record
CUCCUUCAAACCAUCUCUCCCUCCUUCGUAACUUUUCUUCUCCAUGUCCUUAACUCCUCUCUGACUUCCGGCACCUUCCCAUCUGCCUUCAAACAGGCCAGAGUUACCCCUCUACUCAAAAAACCCUCCCUUAACCCAGCCGUCCUCCAUAACUACAGACCAGUAUCACCACUAUCCUUUUCAAAAACAAUUGAACGCACUGUGUCUAACCAACUGUCAAACUUUCUCUCUCAGAACAACCUGCUUGACCCCAACCAAUCGUGCUUCAAGACUGGCCACUCCACAGAAACUGCCCUCCUGUCAGUCACCACUGCCCUCCAGUCUGCCAGAGCGGCCUCAAGGUCAUCCGUCAUCAUUCUGCUGGACCUUUCUUCAGCAUUUGAUACGGUUAACCAUCAGAUCCUGCCUGGUUAUUUAACAUUACAUUUACAUCUAGUCAUUUAGCAGACACUCUUAUGCCAAAGGACACAACGUCAUUUUGCACCAACAACCUUCUGAUUAAUAGCCCGACUCCCUAACCGCUCAGCCAUCUGACCCCAACAUUAAUAUGAGUUCCCCUAGCCUGCCUUUGGUCCCCCAGUGGCUAGACAUUUUGAUAUGUGUGAACCAAGCCCUGGGUAUUCUUAUCCACCUUUGAGAAAUGAAAGCUCAAACGCUGGGUUUUGAAAAUGUUUGUCUUAUGUCGUCAUAAGAGGGAAGGGUACCUCCCCUUUCUCUGCUUUGCCCGCCCAGAAAAUCUGGCCCGCCCAUGAGAAACUGAGCUAUGACUGUGCGAGUGUGAUAUCGUUUUUUCCUCGAGAGACAUCAUGGCUUGCAAACGAACGAAGCAUAACAGUUGCUCAGUGUUUGGAUGUACAAAUGAAAACCAAAGUAUUUUUUUGGUUCCUUCAUACAAGCCUCUGAAGAACCAGUGUCUUAAUUGUAUUUUCUCACGAAAUGCGCCGACACAACUUCCCAAAGUUUUGUAUGUCUGUGCCAAACAUUUCAGCAUUUCAAGAUGACUGUUUCCUCAACUUGGGCCAAUACAAAGCUGGCCUUGCUGACCGUCUGAAAUUCAAGUCUGGAUUAGUACCAACUCUCCUUGGUCCAGCUACAAACCUCGGACAAACACAUUACAGGUUAUGCUCCGGAAGAUGGAGACAUUGGAGGAGAACCAGCGAGAGGCUCUCCUAUUCAGGCGACUACAGGGCAGACACACUGCCAGUGCCAGUGAUGGACCUACAGGUGGCCCAAACACAGGCUGAACUCCAAGACGCCUUAAGCGAGGAGCGCCUUAAGGUGCUGGAGUUGCGAAAGAGAGUGACGCUGUAAAGAAGUGGAAGACGGGACUGGGAGAGAAAGCUGUGGAGCUCCUCAUAGAGGAGACACUCAAACACAACCCGGCAGCCCGUUCAAAACAAGCCAGGGCCAACAGACAGGACCUGUAGCGGGGACUGGCAGAAGAUUUUAAUUCACUGUUUGGCACUUUGUUUGAAAUAAAAUGACAAUGUUACAUGGAAA